UGAGGAAUAUUGGUCAAUGGGCGCAGGCCUGAACCAGCCAAGUAGCGUGAAGGAUGACUGCCCUAUGGGUUGUAAACUUCUUUUAUAAAGGAAUAAAGUCGGGUAUGGAUACCCGUUUGCAUGUACUUUAUGAAUAAGGAUCGGCUAACUCCGUGCCAGCAGCCGCGGUAAUACGGAGGAUCCGAGCGUUAUCCGGAUUUAUUGGGUUUAAAGGGAGCGUAGAUGGAUGUUUAAGUCAGUUGUGAAAGUUUGCGGCUCAACCGUAAAAUUGCAGUUGAUACUGGAUAUCUUGAGUGCAGUUGAGGCAGGCGGAAUUCGUGGUGUAGCGGUGAAAUGCUUAGAUAUCACGAAGAACUCCGAUUGCGAAGGCAGCCUGCUAAGCUGCAACUGACAUUGAGGCUCGAAAGUGUGGGUAUCAAACAGGAUUAGAUACCCUGGUAGUCCACACGGUAAACGAUGAAUACUCGCUGUUUGCGAUAUACUGCAAGCGGCCAAGCGAAAGCGUUAAGUAUUCCACCUGGGGAGUACGCCGGCAACGGUGAAACUCAAAGGAAUUGACGGGGGCCCGCACAAGCGGAGGAACAUGUGGUUUAAUUCGAUGAUACGCGAGGAACCUUACCCGGGCUUAAAUUGCAGAUGAAUUACGGUGAAAGCCGUAAGCCGCAAGGCAUCUGUGAAGGUGCUGCAUGGUUGUCGUCAGCUCGUGCCGUGAGGUGUCGGCUUAAGUGCCAUAACGAGCGCAACCCUUGUUGUCAGUUACUAACAGGUUCCGCUGAGGACUCUGACAAGACUGCCAUCGUAAGAUGUGAGGAAGGUGGGGAUGACGUCAAAUCAGCACGGCCCUUACGUCCGGGGCUACACACGUGUUACAAUGGGGGGUACAGAGGGCCGCUACCACGCGAGUGGAUGCCAAUCCCCAAAACCUCUCUCAGUUCGGACUGGAGUCUGCAACCCGACUCCACGAAGCUGGAUUUGCUAGUAAUCGCGCAUCAGCCACGGCGCGGUGAAUACGUUCCC
This 1017-nucleotide ribosomal RNA is filed under the name uncultured bacterium. Its description in RNAcentral is "bacterial SSU rRNA". It matches the Rfam family "Bacterial small subunit ribosomal RNA", at positions 355 to 1375 of the family's 1533-position model. The record is from RNAcentral.